CGAGCGAGAAAGUGGAGCAAUCCAUGAGUAAAGCGGCGUACGGGUGAGUAACACGUGGAUGAUCUACCUUUUAGUGGGGGAUAACCCUGGGAAACCGGGGCUAAUACCGCAUAAGCCUGUAAAGGGAAAGCAGCAAUGCGCUGAAAGAGGAGUCCGCGGCCGAUUAGCUAGUUGGUGAGGUAACGGCCCACCAAGGCGAUGAUCGGUAGCCGGCCUGAGAGGGCACACGGCCACACUGGCACUGAAACACGGGCCAGACUCCUACGGGAGGCAGCAGUGGGGAAUCUUGCACAAUGGGGGCAACCCUGAUGCAGCGACGCCGCGUGAGCGAUGAAGCCCUUCGGGGUGUAAAGCUCUUUCGGCAGGGACGAUAAUGACGGUACCUGAAGAAGAAGCUGCGGCUAACUACGUGCCAGCAGCCGCGGUAAUACGUAGGCAGCGAGCGUUGUUCGGAAUUACUGGGCGUAAAGAGUGUGUAGGCGGUGCUCUAAGUUCGGUGUGAAAUCUCCUGGCUUAACUGGGAGGGUGCGCCGGAAACUGGAGUGCUCGAGCGUGGGAGAGGAAAGCGGAAUUCCUGGUGUAGCGGUGAAAUGCGUAGAUAUCAGGAGGAACACCUGCGGUGUAGACGGCUUUCUGGACCAUUG
Molecule: ribosomal RNA, 644 nt
Filed under: uncultured bacterium
Lineage: Bacteria
Description: bacterial SSU rRNA
Rfam family: Bacterial small subunit ribosomal RNA
Source: RNAcentral